AUCCUUCUUGGUCAUACACAUGAUGAUUGGUCAUCUCAUGAACUUUUAUAAUAUGUGCUGCCUCCUUGUUAUGCUAAGCACAAGACCCAUCUGAUA
This is a small nucleolar RNA of Alosa alosa (allis shad), 96 nucleotides long. RefSeq annotates it as small nucleolar RNA U13. NCBI's taxonomy places the organism in Eukaryota, Metazoa, Chordata, Actinopteri, Clupeiformes, Clupeidae. The transcript has a single exon. The record is from RefSeq and is a predicted model, not a curated record.